Molecule: transfer RNA, 85 nt
Filed under: bacterium
Lineage: Bacteria
Description: tRNA-Leu
Rfam family: tRNA
About the family: Transfer RNA (tRNA) molecules are approximately 80 nucleotides in length. Their secondary structure includes four short double-helical elements and three loops (D, anti-codon, and T loops). Further hydrogen bonds mediate the characteristic L-shaped molecular structure. tRNAs have two regions of fundamental functional importance: the anti-codon, which is responsible for specific mRNA codon recognition, and the 3' end, to which the tRNAs corresponding amino acid is attached (by aminoacyl-tRNA synthetases). tRNAs cope with the degeneracy of the genetic code in two manners: having more than one tRNA (with a specific anti-codon) for a particular amino acid; and 'wobble' base-pairing, i.e. permitting non-standard base-pairing at the 3rd anti-codon position.
Source: RNAcentral
GCUCAGAUGGUGGAAUUGGUAGACACGCUAGCCUUAGGAGCUAGUAGCUUCGGCUGUGUGGGUUCGAGUCCCACUCUGAGCACCA